This 779-nucleotide ribosomal RNA is filed under the name uncultured bacterium. RNAcentral's name for it is "bacterial SSU rRNA". It matches the Rfam family "Bacterial small subunit ribosomal RNA", at positions 92 to 886 of the family's 1533-position model. The record is from RNAcentral.
UUAGUGGCGGACGGGUGAGUAACGCGUGGGCAACCUGCCGUAUACAGGGGGAUAACAACUGGAAACAGCUGCUAACACCGCAUAAGCGCACGGUACCGCAUGGUACCGAGUGAAAAUCUCCGGAGGUAUACGAUGGGCCCGCGUCUGAUUAGCCAGUUGGUGGGGUAACGGCCUACCAAAGCGACGAUCAGUAGCCGGCCUGAGAGGGUGGACGGCCACAUUGGGACUGAGACACGGCCCAAACUCCUACGGGAGGCAGCAGUGGGGGAUAUUGCACAAUGGGGGAAACCCUGAUGCAGCGACGCCACGUGAGUGAAGAAGCAAUUCGUUGCGUAAAGCUCUAUCAGCAGGGAAGAAGAAAUGACGGUACCUGAAUAAGAAGCCCCGGCUAACUACGUGCCAGCAGCCGCGGUAAUACGUAGGGGGCAAGCGUUAUCCGGAUUUACUGGGUGUAAAGGGAGCGUAGACGGCAGUGCAAGUCCGAUGUGAAGACCCGGGGCUCAACCCUGGGAGUGCAUUGGAAACUGUACGGCUGGAGUGCAGGAGAGGUAAGCGGAAUUCCUGGUGUAGCGGUGAAAUGCGUAGAUAUCAGGAGGAACACCAGUGGCGAAGGCGGCUUACUGGACUGUAACUGACGUUGAGGCUCGAAAGCGUGGGGAGCAAACAGGAUUAGAUACCCUGGUAGUCCACGCUGUAAACGAUGAAUACUAGGUGUUGGGGGUUUACGGACGUCCGGUGCCGCAGCAAACGCAGUAAGUAUUCCACCUGGGGAGUACGUU